This 119-nucleotide ribosomal RNA is filed under the name Sinocyclocheilus rhinocerous. The record is from RNAcentral. Lineage: Eukaryota; Metazoa; Chordata; Actinopteri; Cypriniformes; Cyprinidae.
GCUUACGGUCGUACCACCUUGUGUGUGCCUGAUCUCAUCAGAUCUCGGAAGCUAAGCAGGGUCGAGCCUGGUUAGUAUUUGGAUGGGAGACCGCCUGGGAAUACCAGAUGCUGUAAGCU